Molecule: ribosomal RNA, 1262 nt
Filed under: Bacillus sp. (in: firmicutes)
Lineage: Bacteria; Bacillati; Bacillota; Bacilli; Caryophanales; Bacillaceae
Description: bacterial SSU rRNA
Rfam family: Bacterial small subunit ribosomal RNA
Source: RNAcentral
GGUAACCUACCCAUAAGACUGGGAUAACUCCGGGAAACCGGGGCUAAUACCGGAUAAUAUUUUGAACUGCAUAGUUCGAAAUUGAAAGGCGGCUUCGGCUGUCACUUAUGGAUGGACCCGCGUCGCAUUAGCUAGUUGGUGAGGUAACGGCUCACCAAGGCAACGAUGCGUAGCCGACCUGAGAGGGUGAUCGGCCACACUGGGACUGAGACACGGCCCAGACUCCUACGGGAGGCAGCAGUAGGGAAUCUUCCGCAAUGGACGAAAGUCUGACGGAGCAACGCCGCGUGAGUGAUGAAGGCUUUCGGGUCGUAAAACUCUGUUGUUAGGGAAGAACAAGUGCUAGUUGAAUAAGCUGGCACCUUGACGGUACCUAACCAGAAAGCCACGGCUAACUACGUGCCAGCAGCCGCGGUAAUACGUAGGUGGCAAGCGUUAUCCGGAAUUAUUGGGCGUAAAGCGCGCGCAGGUGGUUUCUUAAGUCUGAUAAGUCUGAAUGUGAAAGCCCACGGCUCAACCGUGGGAGGGUCAUUGGAAACUGGGAGACUUGAGUGCAGAAGAGGAAAGUGGAAUUUCCAUGUGUAGCGGUGAAAUGCGUAGAGAUAUGGAGGAACACCAGUGGCGAAGGCGACUUUCUGGUCUGUAACUGACACUGAGGCGCGAAAGCGUGGGGAGCAAACAGGGAUUAGAUACCCUGGUAGUCCACGCCGUAAACGAUGAGUGCUAAGUGUUAGAGGGUUUCCGCCCUUUAGUGCUGAAGUUAACGCAUUAAGCACUCCGCCUGGGGAGUACGGCCGCAAGGCUGAAACUCAAAGGAAUUGACGGGGGCCCGCACAAGCGGUGGAGCAUGUGGUUUAAUUCGAAGCAACGCGAAGAACCUUACCAGGUCUUGACAUCCUCUGAAAACUCUAGAGAUAGAGCUUCUCCUUCGGGAGCAGAGUGACAGGUGGUGCAUGGUUGUCGUCAGCUCGUGUCGUGAGAUGUUGGGUUAAGUCCCGCAACGAGCGCAACCCUUGAUCUUAGUUGCCAUCAUUAAGUUGGGCACUCUAAGGUGACUGCCGGUGACAAACCGGAGGAAGGUGGGGAUGACGUCAAAUCAUCAUGCCCCUUAUGACCUGGGCUACACACGUGCUACAAUGGACGGUACAAAGAGCUGCAAGACCGCGAGGUGGAGCUAAUCUCAUAAAACCGUUCUCAGUUCGGAUUGUAGGCUGCAACUCGCCUACAUGAAGCUGGAAUCGCUAGUAAUCGCGGAUCAGCAU